Long non-coding RNA from Rosa chinensis, 890 nucleotides. RefSeq lists it as uncharacterized. Lineage: Eukaryota; Viridiplantae; Streptophyta; Magnoliopsida; Rosales; Rosaceae. The record is from RefSeq and is a predicted model, not a curated record. The transcript has 3 exons.
UUUUUCAUAACAAAUUUGCCCUGAGAUUUUGAAUGCACUGUGAUUUUUGCAGUAUAGAUGAGCAGGUAGCAAAGGAUAUACAGCUAAUUGAUUCCAUUACUUUUCGUUCAGCGCAUAUGUAUUCUAAUUCCUUUCAGCUUUUUGGCCCCUAUUUAUUAUGCAAUAUAUACUAGGUAUAGGACCUCAAUGAUGUCUUCUCUUAUUAAGGUUGAUUCCAAAUUGGAUUUUAACACAUCAUGAUGCCGCCUUGACCAUCCUAUCUACUACUUUUACAAUUUCUCUACUGCCUCUUGGUACUAAAAUAUAUAUAUCCUAUCUUCGACUAGGGGGAAUGCAUACUGAGAGAUAGAGAAAGGGGGAGUCUAUAAAUUAGGGAGUAGAAACCAACUGCAGAACAGACUCUUCUAAAAUCCUUGGUUUUCGUUCAGAAGUCAAAACAAUAACAAUGGUGGUAAAGGUGUAUGGCCCCUCCUAUGUUUCUCCUAAACGUGUGUUAGUGUGCCUUGUUGAAAAGGAGAUCUAGUUUGAAACUUCCCCAUUGAUCUCUUCAAGCAAGAACAUAAAGAUCCUGAAUUCCUCAAAUUACAACCUUUUGGAGCGGUUCCUGUUAUUCAAGAGGGAGAUUAUACUUUAUAUGGGUUAUGCAUAUAUACUCACGCAGCCUGGAAUACCUUCCGUUUUCUAUAACCACUUCUAUGAUUCGGGUGAUUCCAUUCAUGAUCAGAUUGUGAAACUGAUACAGCAUUGCAGCUAGCUAGUUCCUUUAUUAACUUGUGUCUAGUAGAAAUUCUUCCUUCAUUAAGCAUUUGGACUUGUCUGCAGAUUCAGAUUAGUAGAUAUGGGCCAUUUUGAACUGAUGCUCAUGAUUAGGUUGUGUACAUAAGACAAUG